CAAUUUCUCAAACGAAAAAAUAAGUAGUCAGACGCUUAUUUUUUCCCCCAAAUUAGAGAGCGCUGAUAUUAGGGUUUCUUCUCCCAAAUGCCUUAUAAGAAUUCCUCUGAAGUAAUUGCGGCAAUGUUUUCACUCGCUUUUUACUUCCUUCCAUGUUUAAAGGUAUAUAACUCUUCUACCACAUAUAUACGGGUCCCAGUAGAAGACAGUACCGGUUGAUGUCAGAUGAUGAGUUGAUGAGGCGGUAAUGCUUUAGGUCAUGUUGAACAGCACUGCCUUAUGAGUGUAUUAUCCUCUCUGUGUUUGAAGCAUAACCCAACAGGGUUUUUUUAUUAGGUCUGGUUUGAUGGUUAGCUGUAUUUAAACAAACGUUAUGGGUUUUAGGGAGUUUCCCAUCGUCUCCUUUUAUCUCCGGAAUUUUAUCGUCUUCCGAUCGACGUAACUCCGCAUUUUUAUAGUCAUGCGGCUGACUUAUAUUAGCUUUAGACUUCAGGAGCGAAUGUGUGAUAGCUUCUUCGGCAACAGGUUGAGGGAGUGGAUUCAGUAAAGCAGCAGAGGCAUUUUUUUAAAGUGAUGAAUAUGCGGCUUCUUGUGAUGGAAUAACAACGUUCAGGCUAAAAUGAAAAUUUCCUCAGCUUUUAUAUUUGGUUCUGUUAUCUGGAGGAUGGUAAGAUCACAUACUUCAUAAAAUAAAGAUUAUGGUAUAUUUUGUAUCAGGUCCUAUUAAUAAAGAUUAGUGUAGCAUCAACAUGUACUCUUGAUUGCACGAGAAUCGAAAGAAGAGUAAUUUUUCUUUUCCUCAAACUUUUUUUUACUAAAAAGCAAUAUGUUCUUAUACUUUAAUGUUAAACCAAUUGCAAAGCCUUUAGUCUGUGGACAAGUAACAAAAUUUGGGUGAAGAUGCCAUACUUCCAGCCAGUAAAAAUAUCAACCAUCAAAGUACAAAGUGCCGGAUAGAUGAGGACAUAAGAUUCCUAAUGAAUUUCCUUUCAAUUUUCUUAUGUUCAUGCUUAGGUUGUAGGAAAAACAGUGCUAUGGAUGCUCUCUAAAAACUGUUUGUUUCAUCCCCAAGGAACGGGAAAUUUUUGAUUAAGAGUAUGUAAAAAGGUCUUAUGUUGUGGGAUCAUAUUUGAUGUCCAAGUUGAUCGUUUAUAUUUUUAUAGAUAAGUAUUAAGAAUUACUUUUCUCUCUGAUUUAUGUGUCUGAAUUAUGUUGUUUCAUCAUAUGUACUCUUCUUCUGAUUUAUGUGCUUGAGUUAUGUUGUUUCAUCAUGUGCUUAGGCAUGGUUUUUUUUAGAGUUGUGGUUAUUUUUGAAAAUUAUGGGUGUUUCUUACUUUCGCGUUUUUGUUGUUAAUAUUGAAUUAUGAUGAGAUUUAGGUGUUCCAGUUGCAUUGUUUGUCAAAAAGAGUGGUGGGUUGGCGUUCUUCAAAGUGUAGUACUUAUGGAGAAGGGAAUUGUUAUUAUCAGGGUGGUCCUUCUCCAGUGUUACCUCCCCCCACAUAUGUUGCUCCCCUGCCUCGCAAAAACAGAGGUUUUCUUAAGGGAUUUAUUCCUGGGUGAUGCAGUGCUGAGAACUUCAGGAAGAUUAGUUGUAUCAAUCAAGAAGGGUCAGUGCAUCCCAAGCCUCUCGAUGAUAUGACCUGAAUAUGCAGGUGAUGAAAUUUGAAUAAUGUUCCCAGGUCAACUCAAUUUAUUCAGGCGAACAAUAUUAGUGUAUUUGAAUUAUUAUUAUAUAUGUUUGGAUACAUUGUGAAAUUUAGCACAAUUGCUAGUACACCACUUUAAGAUACUCCUUUCAAAAUAUUUAGUACAAGACAUCAUUUUUUAAGUUUAUUGUAAAUCUAUAUAUUGAAUUAUAAAUUAGUUAAUUGAUGUUUGAGAUUAUUUA
Solanum pennellii is the source of this 1888-nucleotide long non-coding RNA. RefSeq lists it as uncharacterized. The transcript has 8 exons. Lineage: Eukaryota; Viridiplantae; Streptophyta; Magnoliopsida; Solanales; Solanaceae. The record is from RefSeq and is a predicted model, not a curated record.